AACGAACGCUGGCGGCAGGCCUCAUACAUGCAAGUCGAACGAGAUCUUCGGAUCUAGUGGCGGACGGGUUAGUAACGCGUGGGAACGUGCCUUUCACUACGGAAUAGUCCCGGGAAACUGGGUUUAAUACCGUAUACGCCCUUCGGGGGAAAGAAUUUCGGUGAAAGAUCGGCCCGCGUUGGAUUAGGUAGUUGGUGGGGUAAUGGCCUACCAAGCCUACGAUCCAUAGCUGGUUUGAGAGGAUGAUCAGCAACACUGGGACUGAGACACGGCCCAGACUCCUACGGGAGGCAGCAGUAGGGAAUCUUGGACAAUGGGGGAAACCCUGAUCCAGCCAUGCCGCGUGAGUGACGAAGGCCCUAGGGUCGUAAAGCUCUUUCGCCAGGGAAGAUAAUGACGGUACCUGGUAAAGAAACCCCGGCUAACUCCG
RNAcentral lists this ribosomal RNA (430 nucleotides) under uncultured Paracoccaceae bacterium. Its description in RNAcentral is "bacterial SSU rRNA". It matches the Rfam family "Bacterial small subunit ribosomal RNA", at positions 29 to 505 of the family's 1533-position model. The record is from RNAcentral. Lineage: Bacteria; Pseudomonadati; Pseudomonadota; Alphaproteobacteria; Rhodobacterales; Paracoccaceae.